GCGACACCGCGCGCCCGGCUGCACGCAGGCUCUGCGCGGCUCGAGGCGGCCCUACAGGGGGCGAGGAGGAACCCCGGAGACUCGGCGGAGAGAGCAGAGACGGAGCUCACCAAGGGGCUUGCCGCCGCAGAGCGCGGGAGCCGGCACUCGGGGUACUUAACCGAAACUAGCAAUCCCAGGCGGUACAAGGCCCUCCAUCGUAGGCAAAGCACUACCUGAAUGUAGAUUUGGGCCAUACGUUGGAAAAUAAGACAUGAGAGUAUGCUCCGAUCAACUUUUACUGUUCACUGGACAACUAUUUUGGGAAUUUGCAGACCUAUAAAGCCCAUCUAUAAAUCUCAAGCAUGUCCACUUUCAGAGAAGAGAAAUGCUGACAACCAUUUAGUCUCUGAGGACAACACUUUUAAAGUGUAACAAUGUGGCAUCCAGAGCUUAUCCAGAUGAGCGGAGAGCAAAUGAAUUUCCUUCUGCUCCCCUGUUGAAGAGGAGAGAAAAAUUCUUCAAGCUGACUCCAUCAUAGGACUGGAGAGAGAUUGGAUGUCAGAGUGAUUGAUGUGCUCCUACUGGAAGAAGGCAAACAUCCAUAUGUGAACUGCCUGUGGGGUUUCCAAGGAAAGGAACGGCAGGCAGCCUCUAUGAGCUUAAAGAAGAUAACUGGGACUUUAGUCCUAUAACCUCAAGGAACAGUAUUCUGUGAACCAUCUGAGAAGCUUGGAAGAGGACCCCAAACUCCAAAUAAGAAGCUCAGUGUGUCUGACACCUUGACUGCAGGCUUGGGAGGUCCUGAGCAGAAGAUCCAGUUCAACAGUGCCUGGACUCCUGAUCCACAAAAACUGAUAACAAAUAUUUAUUGUUUUAAGAUGCUAAGUUUGUAGUCAUUUUUUAUACAGCAACAGAAAACUAAACACACACAUAAACAGUUAUAAGUGCUCACUGUAUAUGAGGCUUUUCAUUAAUAAUCUAUAUUUUAUAAUAGAAUUAGAAUAUAGAUCUGUGAAGCUGAAGACACUCAAUCCUUGCUAGAUUUAAAUCAGGAAAAUCAGCUGAGAAUCAUUCCUUGAUAGAACCUGGAAAACAAGACCCUAUGAGAGACCCUGGGAAUUACAUUAAAUUCACUGUGGUUCCCAGUGUCACUGAAGAGGUUUUCCUUUCAUAGUCAGGUAGUCACCAUACUGUUAAGCAUUUGAACACAUGGGCAACUUCCAGAAUAGUUAUGACAUUGAUAUACCAAUCUCCAAAAUUCCUAGAAUACCAUGUUUUCAUGGUUGACCUUCAAAUCAGUCAGUUCUUUGUAACAUUGAGCCAUAAAGAUAGGGCAAAUACUUAAUGUUUUACAUAUAUUCAGAGAUUGACCCUCAAAAUACAGCCCAGAGAAACUCAAAAGAAUUAACUCUAUUUCUUCAAAUUGUGUGACGCCACCAAGGCCAGAUGACUUCAGCAUUGGGAAGGCAAUAUCCAGCUGUCAUCUUCUUGAUCCUCAUAUGCUACUACUAGCAUCUAGCAUUUACUGAGCAGAUAGUUUUAUUGUCCAGUUUUUAAAGAUAAGAAAAUUGAGGUAUUAGGAAAGUUAAGUUGGUUGCCUAGGGAAACACGAAGAUAUAGCCCAGAUUCACUCCCAGGCAGGCAGAUGCCAGUGUCUGCUCUCUUUACCACCGAAAUAUCCUGCUACAUGUACAAUUUCAAUAAAUAUCUGGACUUACUGGAACAAAACAAAUCAACAACAUUCUUAUUUUCUUUCUUCAGUUUAGAUUAAAUAAUUUAAAUGUCUUCUUAAGAAGCUACAGUUUUUUG
Molecule: long non-coding RNA, 1791 nt
Filed under: Homo sapiens (human)
Lineage: Eukaryota; Metazoa; Chordata; Mammalia; Primates; Hominidae
Description: HSALNT0335928
Source: RNAcentral